Long non-coding RNA from Leptinotarsa decemlineata (Colorado potato beetle), 394 nucleotides. The record is from RefSeq and is a predicted model, not a curated record. Lineage: Eukaryota; Metazoa; Arthropoda; Insecta; Coleoptera; Chrysomelidae.
UGCCUUUUCUUGACUCAAUAUCUAUCCAAAAUUUUAAUGAGAUUUUCUUUGAUUUCAACGAUAAGUUAGUUAAAAUACGAAUGUUACCAUGUAUCACUGGGACCAUCCGAGAAGCCUGGAUAUCUUGGGAGGAUGGAAUCACCCAAAAAUGGUAACUUACAUGAGAGACUACGCUGACACUCUAUUUUUCCACUAUGGAGACAGAGUUAAAACUUGGAUAACUAUCAACGAACCGCAUAGUGUCUGCGUAGUAUUAGCACAAUAUCUGGCUGCACGUGUUGAUAGUACGUUUCCACUCGGUACUUCUGAAUAUAUGUGCGCACAUCACAUGUUGUUAGCGCAUAGUGAGAUAUGGGGCCUGUAUCAGAGGAAGUAUAAGAGGACACAAAGAGGU